UACGAAGGGGGCUAGCGUUGCUCGGAAUCACUGGGCGUAAAGCGCACGUAGGCGGCUUCUUAAGUCAGGGGUGAAAUCCUGGAGCUCAACUCCAGAACUGCCUUUGAUACUGCUGGGCUUGAGUACAGUUGCUGUGGGCGGAAUAUGACAUGUAGUGGUGAAAUACUUAGAGAUGUCAUAGAACACCGAUUGCGAAGGCAGCUCACAAAACUGUAACUGACGCUGAGGCACGAAAGUGCGGGGAUCAAACAGG
RNAcentral lists this ribosomal RNA (253 nucleotides) under uncultured bacterium. Its description in RNAcentral is "partial 16S ribosomal RNA". It matches the Rfam family "Bacterial small subunit ribosomal RNA", at positions 524 to 776 of the family's 1533-position model. The record is from RNAcentral.